UAGUCAAAUUUAUUGCUGGACUGACUC
Molecule: small RNA, 27 nt
Filed under: Bombyx mori (domestic silkworm)
Lineage: Eukaryota; Metazoa; Arthropoda; Insecta; Lepidoptera; Bombycidae
Description: ovarian small RNA-22965
Source: RNAcentral